This 588-nucleotide ribosomal RNA is filed under the name uncultured bacterium. RNAcentral describes it as "bacterial SSU rRNA". It matches the Rfam family "Bacterial small subunit ribosomal RNA", at positions 338 to 916 of the family's 1533-position model. The record is from RNAcentral.
CCUACGGGAGGCAGCAGUGGGGAAUUUUGGACAAUGGACGCAAGUCUGAUCCAGCCAUUCCGCGUGCAGGACGAAGGCCUUCGGGUUGUAAACUGCUUUUGUACGGAACGAAAAAGCUCUUAUUAAUACUAGGAGUCCAUGACGGUACCGUAAGAAUAAGCACCGGCUAACUACGUGCCAGCAGCCGCGGUAAUACGUAGGGUGCAAGCGUUAAUCGGAAUUACUGGGCGUAAAGCGUGCGCAGGCGGUUAUAUAAGACAGAUGUGAAAUCCCCGAGCUUAACUUGGGAACUGCAUUUGUGACUGUAUAGCUAGAGUACGGCAGAGGGGGAUGGGAAUUCCGCGUGUAGCAGUGAAAUGCGUAGAUAUGCGGAGGAACACCGAUGGCGAAGGCAAUCCCCUGGGCCUGUACUGACGCUCAUGCACGAAAGCGUGGGGAGCAAACAGGAUUAGAUACCCUGGUAGUCCACGCCCUAAACGAUGUCAACUGGUUGUUGGGUCUUCACUGACUCAGUAACGAAGCUAACGCGUGAAGUUGACCGCCUGGGGAGUACGGCCGCAAGGUUGAAACGUCAAAUGAAAUUGACGG